RNAcentral lists this ribosomal RNA (970 nucleotides) under human gut metagenome. RNAcentral describes it as "bacterial LSU rRNA". It matches the Rfam family "Bacterial large subunit ribosomal RNA", at positions 1954 to 2925 of the family's 2925-position model. The record is from RNAcentral.
AGGUAGCGAAAUUCCUUGUCGGGUAAGUUCCGACCCGCACGAAUGGUGUAACGAUUUGGGUACUGUCUCAACAAGGGACCCGGCGAAAUUGUAGUAUGUGUGAAGAUGCACAUUACCCGCGAUAGGACGGAAAGACCCCGUAGAGCUUUACUGUAGUUUAACAUUGGAUUCCGGUAACAUAUGCACAGGAUAGGUGGGAGGCGGAGAAGCAGUGAUUUCGGUUGCUGCAGAGCCGACGUUGGGAUACCACUCUUGUGUUACUGGGGUUCUAACCUGUGGCCGUGAUCCGGCACAGGAACAGUGUUAGAUGGGCAGUUUGACUGGGGCGGUCGCCUCCAAAAGAGUAACGGAGGCGUCCAAAGGUUCCCUCAGAAUGGUUGGAAACCAUUCGAAGAGUGCAAAGGCAGAAGGGAGCCUGACUGCGAGACCGACAGGUCGAGCAGGGACGAAAGUCGGGCUUAGUGAUCCGGCGGUAUAGAGUGGAAUUGCCGUCGCUCAACGGAUAAAAGCUACCUCGGGGAUAACAGGCUUAUCUCCCCCAAGAGUCCACAUCGACGGGGAGGUUUGGCACCUCGAUGUCGGCUCGUCGCAUCCUGGGGCUGGAUUAGGUCCCAAGGGUUUGGCUGUUCGCCAAUUAAAGCGGCACGCGAGCUGGGUUCAGAACGUCGUGAGACAGUUCGGUCCCUAUCCAUCGUGGGCGCAGGAGAUUUGAGAAGAGCUGUCCUCAGUACGAGAGGACCGGGAUGGACGCACCAAGGGUGUAUCAGUUGUCACGCCAGUGGCACAGCUGGGUAGCCAAGUGCGGAUCGGAUAAACGCUGAAGGCAUCUAAGCGUGAAGCCGACUUCAAGAUAAGAUCUCCCAUCCGCAAGGAGUAAGGCCCCAUGUAGACCACAUGGUUGAUAGGUCGCAGGUGGAAGUGCAGUAAUGUACGCAGCUGAGCGAUACUAAUAGGCCGAGGGCUUGAUCAA